This 1480-nucleotide small RNA is filed under the name Acaulospora foveata. RNAcentral's name for it is "eukaryotic LSU rRNA". The stretch from base 698 to 1480 matches the Rfam family "Eukaryotic large subunit ribosomal RNA", at positions 1 to 700 of the family's 3401-position model. The record is from RNAcentral. Lineage: Eukaryota; Fungi; Glomeromycota; Glomeromycetes; Diversisporales; Acaulosporaceae.
GCUCUUGAACGAGGAAUCCCUAGUAAGCGUGAGUCAUCAGCUCAUGUUGAUUACGUCCCUGCCCUUUGUACACACCGCCCGUCGCUACUACCGAUUGAAUGGCUUAGUGAGACUCUCGGAUCGGGUUUUAGGAACCGGCAACGGUACCUUUCUUCUGAGAAGUUUGUCAAACUUGGUCAUUUAGAGGAAGUAAAAGUCGUAACAAGGUUUCCGUAGGUGAACCUGCGGAAGGAUCAUUAGAAUUAUUAGGAAGAUUUUUUAAUCUUUCCAAUACUUUACUCAAAAUUUUCGGUCUUAUAUACAUAUAUUUAAAUAUAUUUAAAAAUUUUUUUGAUAACUUUCAACAACGGAUCUCUUGGUUCUUGCAUCGAUGAAGAACGCAGCUAAAUGCGAUAGGUAAUGUGAAUUGCAGAAUUCCGUGAAUCAUCAAAUUUUUGAACGCAAAUUGCACUCUCUGGUAUUCCGGGGAGUAUACUUGCUUGAGGGUUAGUGAUUACAAAUCGUGAAAAGAAAUUUUUACGGAUCUGGAUUUUCCGAAAAAGUUUUUUUGGUAAUCCAAAAUUUAUCUUAACUAUAGGUGAUAUUGGAAAUGUUUAUCUUUUUUUUUUUCAUGGACAAUUAUUACCUAUUUGUUACGUCGUGUUAUUUUCCUAAUUCCUUGAUUGGGUAAGAGUAACACAAUUUUUCCUUUGAAAUCUGACCUCAAGUCAAGUAAGAAUACCCGCUGAACUUAAGCAUAUCAAUAAGCGGAGGAAAAGAAACUAACAAGGAUUCCCUUAGUAACGGCGAGUGAACUGGGAAAAGCUCAAAUUUUAAAUCACCUAGGUGAGUUGUAAUUUGAAGAAAGUGUUUUGAUGCUCUGGUUUAGCCUAAAUCCUUUGGGAUAAGGUAUCAUAGAGGGUGAGAAUCCCGUUCAUGACUAAACCGUGGGUGUCACCUAAUUCACUUUCCAAGAGUCGAGUUGUUUGGGAUUGCAGCUCAAAAUGGGUGGUAAAUUUCACCUAAGGCUAAGUAUGUGCAAGAGACCGAUAGCGAACAAGUACCGUGAGGGAAAGAUGAAAAGAACUUUGAAAAGAGAGUUAAAUAGUACGUGAAAUUGUUGAAAGGGAAACGAUUGAAGUCAGUCAUGCUUGCAAGGAAUCAACAAAGUGGUUUUCUUCCUUGUGUACUUCCUUGCUUGGCAGGUUAGCAUCAAUUUUGAUUGUCAUUAAAGAACUGGGGGAAUGUGGCUUCUUCGGGAGUGUUAUAGACCCUGGUAGAUGUGGCGAUUGGGAUCGAGGAUUGCAGCGAAUGCUUCUUGGCUAGUCACCUGGCUUCUGAUGGUCACCUUGCUUUCGAUAGCUUGCUAACGUUGGUGAGAUUUGAUUGUCUAGAUGUUAGAGUGAACAUAAAUUCGCUAAGGAUGCGGACGUAAUGGCUUUAAACGACCCGUCUUGAAACACGGACCAAGGAGUCUAACAUAUGUGCGAGUGUUUAAGCC